Onychostoma macrolepis is the source of this 2842-nucleotide RNA transcript. It is a transcript of the gene named engrailed homeobox 1b, with no coding region annotated. The transcript is spliced from 4 exons. Lineage: Eukaryota; Metazoa; Chordata; Actinopteri; Cypriniformes; Cyprinidae. The record is from RefSeq and is a predicted model, not a curated record.
UCCAUCCGUUCAUUAUUUGCAUAAGAUCGUAAAAUUCUAUUGGACAUUCUCUGCUUGUGACACCAAGGAUGUUGGUACCCCAUUGGUCCAUUGCACGUGUGUCUCGCUCACGUGCUUCCGGUUAAGGAAAAAAGUAUGUGAGGGGCACCGUGAUUUUAGAAAGAGUUUGUUAAGCGCGAGCUGUCACACGGGGCAGCGAGUCAGGGACUGCGGAGCAUCGCGCGAUGCAUUGUCUGACAUGAAUAACGGGUGUGUUUUGACACUUGAAACGCCUUGAUCGCGGAAAGCAUUCCGAUGCUAUGACAGUCGCUUCUCUUAAGGUAUUUCGCAUACCUUUAUUUUAACACUAUAGACUGCAUUCUUGUUUGUCGCUAUCCGGAUACUGCUCUUUGCAACAAGUGGAAUUUUGGUGUGCAGACCACGAUCCAGCUGUCAUGGAGGAGCAAAAGGAUCAAAAUAGUCGUGAUUCGACUGAGUCUGAGAGCGUCUCGCUCUCGCCCAAUAUACCAUCUCCUCCGAUUUUACCUCACCAGGCUGCGCAGCAAGCCCACAGAACCACGAACUUUUUCAUCGACAAUAUUCUAAGGCCAGAUUUCGGCUGCAAGAAAGAUCUUGGGAGUAGGGACCGGGCGCAAACCUCGGGUAGGGAGAAUGUUAACCCUAUGGUGAUAAGGCCGUCGCAUAAUAGCAGCCUUUGCCAGGAUUCAAACUGCAGUAGUGACAGCACUUCUUCGUCCUCGUCUUCUUCGCCAUCCUCAAAGCAGACCUCUGCAAAGCUUGUCGAAGGAAAUGGAACUACCACAGCAAGGUACGGGGAGAAUACGACGUCGAUAAUGGUGGUGAACACUAACGGGGGAACUUCGCAAGCGAAAGAAUCGCAGCCUUUACUAUGGCCUGCGUGGGUGUACUGCACCAGGUACUCGGACAGACCUUCAUCUGGCCCAAGGACACGAAAAUUGAAAAAGAAGAAAAGCGAGAAGGAAGACAAGCGACCGAGAACCGCUUUCACGGCUGAACAGCUGCAGAGACUUAAAGCCGAGUUUCAGGCGAAUCGGUACAUUACGGAGCAGCGGAGACAGUCGCUGGCCCAGGAACUCAACCUCAAUGAGUCGCAAAUAAAAAUCUGGUUCCAGAAUAAGAGGGCCAAAAUCAAAAAGGCCACUGGCUAUAAGAACGGCCUCGCUCUUCAGCUCAUGGCUCAAGGACUCUACAACCAUUCCACAACAACAGUUCAAGAAGAUAAAGACGAUAGCGAAUAAAAAUGGCCCGGCUUCUCUCCUAAAAAGGGCAUGGACGCUGACGCCGACAAAAGUGAUUUUUCAUAUUUUUAUGAAUCAAAUGAAAAGGAAAUGUCUUCGAAUUCUGCGAAACGAAGAUACGAUAUUUAAGCGAAUUUCUGUUUAUCAUACAGUAUAUGGACAUGCAUCUAAAUACGAACACUAUGAAAAUUUAUAUAUAGCCAAAACUGUAAGAUGUGUAUAUUUAAUUCCAGAUGACAGAACCAGCUCAAGACACUGAGUGAUUUCUGUGGCAGCCGCACAACACUGAGCGUGAAGAAGUCCUUUUACACACAGCCUGCGAGAUGUGUGGUCUGAAGGGCGCUAUCCCAUUCCUCUCUCUUUGUCUUGUUUUGGUGACGCAUUUGUGGUGAAGAAUCAAGAGAAAUCUCCUGCGGCGUGUUUAAGAAGCCGAGACGGCUGGUUAAAAACACGUUUCCAUCGAGCAGUCGCAGAUGUCUAUGAAAAAAAGAGAUCCUGACACACACAGCUGCUGCCCAAAUCUGCCUUGAAUCAACGAACGAACUGUGUCACACACUUCGCACAUUCCUUUCAAAGUCACUUUUAUGCAUGUGAACACUGUUUGAUCAGAACAAAAUUCCAAAGGUAUAAUUUUUGACUGAAAAAAUGAAUAAAUACAUUUUGUUUGAUGUUUUAGACAGCGUUGGAGGACAUGAGAAUGGAAAUACUUGAGGAGGAGGCCCGGAUGUCAGUUCCCCCUCUUGCCCUCUACAGAAUGGACCUCCAAGCAGCGUGACAUUGCUCCAUCAAUCUGUGUUUAAAGAGCAGUGUGUGUCCGCAGUGCAGCAUGUUAACAGGCAUCUCUCUCUUUUUCUCUUCGCGUUCAUGUUCAGGCACACACAAAAACCCACAUAUGCUUCCAUGCUCAUCUAUUUGUGUUUCCAUCACUCUUUUUCAUGCACACACACACACACAGAUCUCCCUCGCUCUCUUAUCUUUUACCAGAAGCCUCGUGAACACAAGAGCACUUGUCAGCCAUCACUAUAUCAAACCAAACAUUCGGCUGCUGUCACUCAAAGAGCAGUAUCUAUCUGUCCAUUGCAAUGAGAUCUACUUGUAGCUUUCACAUCAGAUCUCCAUUCUACAUCUGUUUUAAAGGUCACUGGGGUUAGAGCCAUGACACAGUGAACUUUCACUGAGAUCCAACUUCAAAUUUGGCCCAAAUUCAUACCCUGAAUCCUUUCCCCCUCUCUCUUCCUCUACUUUUCUGUCCUCAUUUUAUAUGGGCAUAAAAAUGACUCAAUACUCCAUGUUGAUAUAUGUGUAGGACAUUUAUUAUAGAUAACAAAAGAUUAAACCAAGUGGCAUUUACUUCAAAGCAAAAUAUCAAAAGCAUAUUUGUUUCACCAAAGCAUUUCAUAAAACAAAGCUUUUUUCCGGUACAUUCUGGUUCUCAGACUUUCAGAGAUAAUAUAAAAUACACUUGAGGACACCUAUGUUAACCUAUGCUUCAGUCAGUUGGUGAGAACUUGAGGUCAAGUUGGUUAACAGUAAUUGCAAGCAUUGCUUAUAUAUAUAUAAUAAAAAAAAAAAAAAAAAAAGAA